Molecule: ribosomal RNA, 253 nt
Filed under: uncultured bacterium
Lineage: Bacteria
Description: partial 16S ribosomal RNA
Rfam family: Bacterial small subunit ribosomal RNA
Source: RNAcentral
UACGGAGGGUGCAAGCGUUAUCCGGAUUCACUGGGUUUAAAGGGUGCGUAGGUGGGCAGGUAAGUCAGUGGUGAAAUCUCCGAGCUUAACUCGGAAACUGCCAUUGAUACUAUCAGUCUUGAAUAUUGUGGAGGUUAGCGGAAUAUGUCAUGUAGCGGUGAAAUGCUUAGAUAUGACAUAGAACACCAAUUGCGAAGGCAGCUGGCUACGCAUAUAUUGACACUGAGGCACGAAAGCGUGGGGAUCAAACAGG